ACGCUCGACACCUACGGAGGCAGCAGUAGGGAAUAUUGCGCAAUGGGGGAAACCCUGACGCAGCAACGCCGCGUGGAGGAUGACACUUUUCGGAGCGUAAACUCCUUUUCUUAGGGAAGAAUUCUGACGGUACCUAAGGAAUAAGCACCGGCUAACUCCGUGCCAGCAGCCACGGUAAUCUGAGCGGGCUGGCAAGGC
RNAcentral lists this ribosomal RNA (198 nucleotides) under uncultured bacterium. RNAcentral describes it as "partial 16S ribosomal RNA". It matches the Rfam family "Bacterial small subunit ribosomal RNA", at positions 328 to 539 of the family's 1533-position model. The record is from RNAcentral.